Molecule: long non-coding RNA, 1109 nt
Organism: Betta splendens (Siamese fighting fish)
Lineage: Eukaryota; Metazoa; Chordata; Actinopteri; Anabantiformes; Osphronemidae
Exons: 4
Source: RefSeq, a predicted model, not a curated record
AACGCAUGCGCACGAGGACACCCUGCGGACGCACGCUCGCAAAUCUCACUCACACGCGAGCGCAAUUAACGCUGAUACAAAUCAAAUGCCCAUUUUUUUUGUUGGAGCGCAGAGCAAUUUUUCCAAAAAAAAAAAAAAAAAUCCGCAAAAUGAUCCGCAGUAAUUUAUAGCGUGUUUUUCACCGAGGGGAGCGAUACUGGGUUCUAGGCUGUAAACGUUGCUCUGCCAUGUUUAUUUUCAUUUCAUUCUGUUCUGCCUCUAGAACACUUUACCUUGGUGAUUUAGGGAGGCUCACGGUGGUUUUGGAAAACAACCAGCUGGCAGCGUUUGCGUGUGUGAAGUCAGCAUUAAGCUACUGAAUCCUUCCUUCCUGACGCUGUUCUGCGCUGCGCUGGGAAAAAGUGAAUCAAAUGAAAAGACCCAAACCAAGUAGUCUCCUGACGCUGCCUGACUUCUGCAGCCUGGCUGUGGCUCUCAGCCCCCCCGCCAAGACAUAACAGAGUUGAAUGGAUUCUAGACAACAUGGCCGCUGACGGAGCCGCAGCCAAAGCCCCCGGUGUGAGGGAGUUGGUCUUGGUUCAGCAGAGACAGUUCAAGUGGAGGCAGGAAGUUGGCCAACAGGCCUACGGAGCGGGAGAGGACACCAGAGGAAACUUCUGCUCCAACGUCAACAGGAGGUCAUGCUUCAGGAAAAGCGCUGCUACCUAUCCAUCUUUAAUUAAUAGACUGUAUUCAGCUGGGCACCAUCUGAGCGCGAAAACACGGGCAACUUGGAAAAAAACAGGAAGUGUUCCCGUCUCCUGCACAGAUUCUCGUGUUAUGACACUUGAGGAAUAUAGAAAUGGCUCAUUUAUGCUUUUGAGGGACGGUCCAAGAGUCUGUCAAGCUGCUUAUUUUCAAACAUUGUUUUUUUGUGAAGCCAAUCGUGAGCCUUCCCUUCAGUUUCCCGUCCAGUCAGUCGUCGGGGAGCGUGCGCGGCGCGGAGCAGGGUGAAGGCUAAAUAACCUGGGGCCGGCCGUCACAAGGAAUAAAGGAAGCUGAAAUAAUUCCACAUGCGCAUACAUGCUGUAUUAAAAAUAUGGCUGCUGAAGCGGCAGGUUUUUUUUUUU